This is a long non-coding RNA of Mauremys mutica (yellowpond turtle), 619 nucleotides long. RefSeq lists it as uncharacterized. NCBI's taxonomy places the organism in Eukaryota, Metazoa, Chordata, Testudines, Geoemydidae. The record is from RefSeq and is a predicted model, not a curated record. The transcript is spliced from 4 exons.
CCUCCCGGUAAUAGCUAGCUCGUGUUCGUGUGGAGUAUCCGCGUGUCAGCUGAAGGACCGGAUCAACCUUUCAGCCAGGGUCUCCUCCCGGUAUUGCUAGCUCGUGUCGUGUCGUUUUGGAUCCAUUUCCGUCAGCUCGUCAUGCUCCUGGUGUCUGCUCUGCUGGUCAGCUGCGCCUGGAGUGCGCAACAUGAUGGCAGUCACAUCUGUUUUUCUACUUUUAAAAACCAGCUACCUAUGAAGAAUUUAGAUUUGAUGUAUUACCCAGUUUUUGCUGAUGGUAGUCCAGGAGAAUGAUGCAUGUCUCCCCAGCUCGGCUCCCAGCUCUGGCAUGAGACUUUUCCAUGCACAGAUUCCCAGCCCUCCCAAGAGCACUUCCCAAGGACCUACAGGCAGAGAAGAGGUCGCGGCAGCAGCAUGGAGAGUAGGGAGGACCAGACCUUCUGCAAGAGGUUCCAGCUCCUCUUGGGGAUUCCCCAGCAUCCCCAGGCCAGCUGAGAGAUAUGAUCCCUCCAGCGUGUCAAAAUAUCUGUGCCUUAUUUUAUAAAAUGGAGAUGAUCCUGACAUACAUUAAAGUGGUAUUGUGCGGCAUAGUGUUUCUAAAUACCCUUUGAGAACA